GGUUUCCUACGGGAGGCAGCAGUGGGGAAUAUUGCACAAUGGGGGAAACCCUGAUGCAGCAACGCCGCGUGAAGGAAGACGGUUUUCGGAUUGUAAACUUCUUUUCUUAGUGAAGAAGCAAGCGACGGUAGCUAAGGAAUAAGCAUCGGCUAACUACGUGCCAGCAGCCGCGGUAAUACGUAGGAUGCGAGCGUUAUCCGGAAUUACUGGGUGCAAAGGGAGCGCAGGCGGGACUGCAAGUUGGAUGUGAGAUACCGCAGCUUAACUGCGGAGCUGCAUCCAAAACUGUAGUUAUUGAGGGGCGU
This 305-nucleotide ribosomal RNA is filed under the name uncultured bacterium. RNAcentral describes it as "bacterial SSU rRNA". It matches the Rfam family "Bacterial small subunit ribosomal RNA", at positions 333 to 652 of the family's 1533-position model. The record is from RNAcentral.